This is a long non-coding RNA of Rhincodon typus (whale shark), 1935 nucleotides long. RefSeq lists it as uncharacterized. The record is from RefSeq and is a predicted model, not a curated record. The transcript is spliced from 2 exons. NCBI's taxonomy places the organism in Eukaryota, Metazoa, Chordata, Chondrichthyes, Orectolobiformes, Rhincodontidae.
UUGACGUUUGACUAAUUCAGUAGAAGUAUGGCCAUGGAUAAAUUCCAUUUUGAGGCAGUAGUUUCUCCAAUGUACACAUUGAAAGAUGAAAGAACUUUCUCAAAGAUUCGCAAAGCAAACAGAAAAGCAUACGUGCUUGAAGCUAAAUAUUGGAUCGGGGGCCGACUAGCUUAGUUGCCUGGACAGCUGGUUUGCAAUACAGACUAAAGCCAACAGUGUGGCUUUAAUUCCUGCACCAGCUGAGGUCUCCAGGAGAAACUCUCCAUCUCAACUCUGAACUCAGGACCCUCGGUGACCCUUCGGUUAAACUCACCAUCACUCAUCUCUUUCUAAUGAAGAAAACAGCCCUAUGAUUUGCUGAAAUUACGGUGACUUUACUUAUAAAUUAAUGUAAGUAAGCCAUUUUAGAAAAGAAGUACAUCUAUUAUUCAAAAUACUUCAGAAGCUUGUAAUCUGAAACAAUAGUAAAAAAUCUCACUAGGGUUAGCACCAUUUGUAGAGAUAGGAAAACCGAGUUUGUGUUUGGGUCAUACAUAACUUCUUCAAAUCUGAAUUGAGGUCGAAAUAUAGAAACAUUUGGUGCUAGAAACAUUUCGAGCAAAACUAGCAACUGUCAAACAUUUAUUGAAAUUUGUUUCAUCCGCAUAGUAUGUCACAUGUAGUCCCUUUCAUGAUUUUCUAAAAAGGAUAUAACAGGCACCUGGAGAUAGUUCUGUCAGGAUUUACAUGUUUGAGACUAAAAAUCCUUAAGUGUACACAUCAGGAUUGGAUUAACAUUUGAGUUUAUUUUCACUUCAGUAAAGAAGACUAAAGGGUGAUCCAUACACGGAUGUAAAAUUCAUAGAUGUUUUGACAACUUGGACAGACAGCAUGUUUUCACUUCAGGGAGAUGGUGGAAAUGUCACUGGACUAGCGAGCCAGUGGCUCAUGCUGUUGCUCCAGGAACAAAUUCUCAAAUCUCAUCCUGUGAGCUCGUGAAAUAGAAAACUCAAUUAAUAAAUCUGCAGCAUAAAUGUAAUGUCAGUGAUGACUGUGACAAGUGUUAUUGAUUGUUGUGAAAACCUAUGUGGUUCACUUGUGUCCUUUCAGGAAGAAAAUCUGCCAUCCUUACCUAGCUGGCCUGAAUAUGUCUCCAGACCAGUAGAUGUGUGUCUGAUUUGUAACUGCACUCUGAAAUUACUGAACAAGCAAUUCUGUUCAAGAGCAAUUAGGCUUGGACAGCAAUGCCGUCCCUGUCAGCAUCACCUAUAUCCACGUAAAACGCUAUGGAGAAAAUAAAUGGAGAAAAUCAAUACAAGAUACUCAGGAAAAAAAACAGUCAUGAACAAAAUUGUGGAACAAGAGAAAGUGUGAUUCAAUAUUAUAAUUGCAAUUAAAGGGAAGCUCGGUACGAUUGAACUUAAUAGAAGGGUAUAAUGACAAAUUAUUUGUAAUUGCUUUCAGACAAGAGAGCACACUAUUCAAUUCAGGUCUUCAGUAAUUUGAGACAUUGUGUGGGAAAUGUACCAUUUUUGGAUGGAACAGGUGACUUUCGGCCUAAGAUGUCUGAAGCUGUUUCCUAAUAUGUUCAUGCAUCAUAUCUAGAUUUGUUGUACGCCAGUGAUUAAAAUGGAUUACUUGAUUAGAUUAAAUAAUUUAAAUUUCCAGGCAGAAAGAAAGUGAAAUUAGAUGGAUCUGAUCUUUUCUCAUGCAGCAACUUCUAUUUUGGUAAGGUAGAUAACAUUGCUGGAUUGGAAACAAUCGGAUUUUUCUUGCUGACUGUAGCAAUGCUGAUGGUUUUAUCGAUUACGACGAGCUGAUUGAGGUCCUCAAGGGUUCUGGGGAGCAUGUUACAGAGGAGGAAAUUCAUGAACUCAUGAUGUUGUACGACAAUAACAAUGAUGGCAAAAUUGACUUUGAUGGUAUGUACAAAUAAAAAAAACCAUUGGCAAUGUU